UUCGAUACGGGGGGGUAUACCUUAAAAAUGAAAAAUCCCAAACUUUGGAGGUCCAUAUCUCGGCUUCUAUGGGCACUAUCGGAAAAAUUCAAACGGUUUUGACUUAGUUUCGUCCUUCUGAAUCCAACGAGACCAUCCGCAAGGUCGUAGCUCCCAUAUUAGCUGAGAUCUCGCAUUUUUAGGGCCCAUUUUUGGGCUCAAAAACGGGGUCAAAAAUUGACUUUUUCCCGAAUUUUCAAAGUGCUAUAAUUCCACUUGUUUUGGUCGAAUUCUGUUAUAACCCGGUGUUUUCGUGAUGUAGGUGAUGGGUAUAAGCCACUGAUAGGGGUUUCUAUAGCUAUUUUCGAGUUUAAAGAAAAUCGAUUUUUCGCAUUUUCAAAGUGCUAUAAUUCCCUUAGUUUUUCUCGAAACUCAUUAUAACCCGGUGUUUUCGUGUUGUAGGUGAUGGGAACAAGCCGCUGGUAUAGUUAGUUCAAAUUCGAAAAAAAUCAAUUUUUGGUGAAAAAUUCGAUACGGGGGGGUAUACCUUAAAAAUGAAAAAUCCCAAACUUUGGAGGUCCAUAUCUCGGCUUCUAUGGGCACUAUCGGAAAAAUUCCAACGGUUUUGACUUAGUUUCGUCCUUCUCAAUCCAACGAGACCAUCCGCAAGGUCGUAGCUUCCAUAUUAGCUGAGAUCUCGCAUUUUUAGGGCCCAUUUUUGGGCUCAAAAACGGGGUCAAAAAUUGACUUUUUCCCAAAUUUUCAAAGUGCUAUAAUUCCACUUGUUUUGGUCGAAUUCCGUUAUAACCCGGUGUUUUCGUGAUG
Molecule: long non-coding RNA, 804 nt
Organism: Anthonomus grandis grandis
Lineage: Eukaryota; Metazoa; Arthropoda; Insecta; Coleoptera; Curculionidae
Exons: 3
Source: RefSeq, a predicted model, not a curated record